RNAcentral lists this ribosomal RNA (72 nucleotides) under Actinomycetota bacterium. Its description in RNAcentral is "Actinobacteria bacterium partial 23S ribosomal RNA". It matches the Rfam family "Bacterial large subunit ribosomal RNA", at positions 2853 to 2925 of the family's 2925-position model. Lineage: Bacteria; Bacillati; Actinomycetota. The record is from RNAcentral.
UUGAUAGGCCGGAGGUGUAAGUGCGGUAACGCAUUCAGCCGACCGGUACUAAUCGGCCGAGGGCUUGGAUCG